This 467-nucleotide ribosomal RNA is filed under the name uncultured bacterium. RNAcentral's name for it is "partial 16S ribosomal RNA". It matches the Rfam family "Bacterial small subunit ribosomal RNA", at positions 28 to 506 of the family's 1533-position model. The record is from RNAcentral.
GACGAACGCUGGCGGCGUGCUUAACACAUGCAAGUCGAACGGAAAGGCCCUGCUUUUGUGGGGUGCUCGAGUGGCGAACGGGUGAGUAACACGUGAGUAACCUGCCCUUGACUUUGGGAUAACUUCAGGAAACUGGGGCUAAUACCGGAUAGGAGCUCCUGCUGCAUGGUGGGGGUUGGAAAGUUUCGGCGGUUGGGGAUGGACUCGCGGCUUAUCAGCUUGUUGGUGGGGUAGUGGCUUACCAAGGCUUUGACGGGUAGCCGGCCUGGGAGGGUGACCGGCCACAUUGGGACAGAGAUACGGCCCAGACUCCUACGGGAGGCAGCAGUGGGGAAUAUUGCACAAUGGGCGGAAGCCUGAUGCAGCAACGCCGCGUGCGGGAUGACGGCCUUCGGGUUGUAAACCGCUUUCGCCUGUGACGAAGCGUGAGUGACGGUACUGGGUAAAGAAGCACCGGCUAACUACGU